GCCUUUGCAGCUGGAGACAGCAAGUUGAGCGACUCAAAACAACAUCAGCCCUAUGCAAGUCGGUGCUCCCAUGCACUGGCGACACUUUCGAAUUGACGGGGAACCCCUAAAGCCCUUCACACCAAGCCAGCCUGGGAAACCUUCUGGUGGCCUGUCCUAACGUACAGGGUAUGGUAAUAGAGGAAGGGAUGAUCUGGAGGCCGCAGCGGCCUUCAGUGAAAUGGGCAAUCCGCAGCGAAGCCCCUACCGUCCCCCCGGGGAUAUGGGGAACGUCCACAGACUAAGUGGAAGUGGGUGGGACCUUGGUCCUGCUUAAGAUAUAGUCGGGCCCCCAGGGAAACUUGGGGGAGACCAAACCGUUCCGUAGGUGAACCUUCGGAAGGAUCAUUA
Molecule: non-coding RNA, 390 nt
Filed under: Pararoussoella mukdahanensis
Lineage: Eukaryota; Fungi; Ascomycota; Dothideomycetes; Pleosporales; Thyridariaceae
Description: Roussoella mukdahanensis partial 18S ribosomal RNA
Rfam family: Group I catalytic intron (bases 17-347)
About the family: Group I catalytic introns are large self-splicing ribozymes. They catalyse their own excision from mRNA, tRNA and rRNA precursors in a wide range of organisms.
Source: RNAcentral